UCGUAACAACCGAGGCGCGAGGGCUGUCGCUGAUCUGAACCCUCAGGUCGUGCACGCUCGAGCGUCCUCGCACAUCCAUCUCACCCCAAUGUGCACCACCGCGUGGGUCUCCCUUUGGCUUGUUCGAAGGGGGGCUUACGUUUUCACACAAACUUGAAGCAAUGUAGAAUGUCUCUUUUUUUGCGAUAACACGCAAUCAAUA
Molecule: unclassified non-coding RNA, 202 nt
Filed under: uncultured Russulaceae
Lineage: Eukaryota; Fungi; Basidiomycota; Agaricomycetes; Russulales; Russulaceae
Description: sequence contains ITS1
Source: RNAcentral